RNAcentral lists this long non-coding RNA (1236 nucleotides) under Oryzias sinensis (Chinese medaka). Its description in RNAcentral is "lncRNA (ENSOSIG00000007779.1)". Lineage: Eukaryota; Metazoa; Chordata; Actinopteri; Beloniformes; Adrianichthyidae. The record is from RNAcentral.
UUUUUCAAAUGUUUUUCUCUAUUUCUCCUACUUGUAUUCAAACACGUAUACAGAUACACUUAUGUGCGCAUACAUAUACAUCUUCAUAAUUAAGUUAUUGGGCAACAGAAGCGUUAGCAUUAGGCUAAUAAUGCGUGCUAAAAACAUUAGCAAUGAUGGAGGAACAGAACUACAGGCGGCCAGUCCAGCAAUGAGAAACUUGGAUGUAAAUAUGUGGAAAUGAACAUCAGCCUUUAUUUUGUCUGGACACCACUGAGAACACAAAUUCAUAUGAUGGUUGAGAGUUUCUAAGGUCUUGAAGCAGCAUUUCCUCCUGUUCGAAGCUUCCCCGGACAAGCUUUCUCUCUGGGCUAGUAGAAGGCCGGUUUAGCUCCGUCCAAAGAGCAAGUCCGAGGGAGAAGCUUCGAACCGUGCGGACAGCGGGGCUUCCGAAGGAGGCUGUGGUCCCAAACUCCGGACUGCGUAAGGCAGAAAUACUGCUACGUAGUCCCGAGAAGCUGUGCACAAUCAUCAGGGGAGCACAAACGUCACAAAGCCAUCUCCCCUGCCACUAACACAAAGCUGCUCCUAGACAUGACUAAUGAGUUAUAUCGCUAGAGGAGGCAUCACGUGAUUCCUCGUGGGAGGAGAGCACCGCCAUCUUGGUGAGGUCAAGUUACUGCUGCAGUGAAUGCAUGUGAACACAUUUUUUGUUUCCAAAAGGCCAGUUCAUUGUGCGAGUUUCAACUGCCAAAAUCGGAGAAAUGAGUCCACGAAGGAGGAAGGCAUAACAUUUCACAGGUUUCCAAUGGAUUCAGAUUUAAGGAAAAAGUGGGCCUUAGCUAUCAAAAGAGCUAACCCAGAUGGAUCACUGUGGUUACCAACUAGUAAAACAGUCUGGCUGUUUAAAACAUUUUGUGGAACCAGAUUUUGAUAAGAGGCCAGACUGUUUGCUUGAAACCCGGCACCAUACAAUCUGUGUUCCCCAAUUGAUCACUCACAUGAAUCAGUAAAUCUGUUGUUUUUCUUUGUUUUAUAUUUUUUUAUUUUUUAGGUUAAAUCUAUUGUUAACUUUUGGACUUUUUGUUGACUUAUUUAUUUAUUUUGGAUUAUUAUUUAUUGACUUAUUAUUGAUUUAUUUGUAUUAUUUAUUGGCUUAUUAUUUACUUAUUGCUAUUAUUUAUUAUUUGUAUUGACUUACUAUUGAUUUAUUAUUAUCUAUUAUUAUUAUUGUUGUUGUUAUCAUUAACUUAUUGU